CAGCAGCCACGGUAAUACGUAGGUGGCAAGCGUUGUCCGGAAUUGUUGGGCGUAAAGGGCUCGCAGGCGGUUUCUUAAGUCUGAUGUGAAAGCCCCCGGCCCAACCGGGGAGGGUCAUUGGAAACUGGGAAACUUGAGUGCAGAAGAGGAGAGUGGAAUUCCACGUGUAGCGGUGAAAUGCGUAGAGAUGUGGAGGAACACCAGUGGCGAAGGCGACUCUCUGGUCUGUAACUGACGCUGAGGAGCGAAAGCGUGGGGAGCGAACAGGAUUAGAUACCCGCGUAGUCCCUGUCUCUUAUAC
This 301-nucleotide ribosomal RNA is filed under the name uncultured bacterium. Its description in RNAcentral is "partial 16S ribosomal RNA". It matches the Rfam family "Bacterial small subunit ribosomal RNA", at positions 509 to 807 of the family's 1533-position model. The record is from RNAcentral.